AAUCAACGCUGGCGGCGUGCCUCAGACAUGCAAGUCGAACGCGAAAGUCCCCUUCGGGGGACAAGUAGAGUGGCGCACGGGUGAGUAACACGUAGGUAAUCUACCUUCGGAUGGGGAAUAACAAUCGGAAACGGUUGCUAAUACCGCAUAAUGCAGCGGCACCUAAUGGUGACAGUUGUUAAAGCGGGGGAUCGAAAGACCUCGCGUCUGAAGAGGAGCCUGCGGCGGAUUAGCAGUUGGUAAGGUAAUAGCUUACCAAGGCGACGAUCCGUAACCGGCCUGAGAGGGCGGUCGGUCACACUGACACUGACAUACGGGUCAGACUCCUACGGGAGGCAGCAGUCGGGAAUAUUGGACAAUGGGUGCAAGCCUGAUCCAGCCAUGCCGCGUGCAGGAA
This 397-nucleotide ribosomal RNA is filed under the name uncultured bacterium. Its description in RNAcentral is "bacterial SSU rRNA". It matches the Rfam family "Bacterial small subunit ribosomal RNA", at positions 32 to 409 of the family's 1533-position model. The record is from RNAcentral.